This 1231-nucleotide ribosomal RNA is filed under the name Bacillus sp. USMS6IK. Its description in RNAcentral is "bacterial SSU rRNA". It matches the Rfam family "Bacterial small subunit ribosomal RNA", at positions 116 to 1330 of the family's 1533-position model. Lineage: Bacteria; Bacillati; Bacillota; Bacilli; Caryophanales; Bacillaceae. The record is from RNAcentral.
CGUGGGUAACCUGCCUGUAAGACUGGGAUAACUCCGGGAAACCGGGGCUAAUACCGGAUAACUUCUUUCCUCGCAUGAGGAAAGAUUGAAAGAUGGCUUUUGCUAUCACUUACAGAUGGACCCGCGGCGCAUUAGCUAGUUGGUGAGGUAACGGCUCACCAAGGCAACGAUGCGUAGCCGACCUGAGAGGGUGAUCGGCCACACUGGGACUGAGACACGGCCCAGACUCCUACGGGAGGCAGCAGUAGGGAAUCUUCCGCAAUGGACGAAAGUCUGACGGAGCAACGCCGCGUGAGUGAUGAAGGUCUUCGGAUCGUAAAACUCUGUUGUUAGAGAAGAACAAGUACCGUUCGAAUAGGGCGGUACCUUGACGGUACCUAACCAGAAAGCCACGGCUAACUACGUGCCAGCAGCCGCGGUAAUACGUAGGUGGCAAGCGUUGUCCGGAAUUAUUGGGCGUAAAGCGCGCGCAGGCGGUUUCUUAAGUCUGAUGUGAAAGCCCACGGCUCAACCGUGGAGGGUCAUUGGAAACUGGGAGACUUGAGUGCAGAAGAGGAGAGUGGAAUUCCACGUGUAGCGGUGAAAUGCGUAGAGAUGUGGAGGAACACCAGUGGCGAAGGCGACUCUCUGGUCUGUAACUGACGCUGAGGCGCGAAAGCGUGGGGAGCGAACAGGAUUAGAUACCCUGGUAGUCCACGCCGUAAACGAUGAGUGCUAAGUGUUAGAGGGUUUCCGCCCUUUAGUGCUGCAGCUAACGCAUUAAGCACUCCGCCUGGGGAGUACGGCCGCAAGGCUGAAACUCAAAGGAAUUGACGGGGGCCCGCACAAGCGGUGGAGCAUGUGGUUUAAUUCGAAGCAACGCGAAGAACCUUACCAGGUCUUGACAUCCUCUGCUAACCCUAGAGAUAGGGCGUUCCCCUUCGGGGGACAGAGUGACAGGUGGUGCAUGGUUGUCGUCAGCUCGUGUCGUGAGAUGUUGGGGUUAAGUCCCGCAACGAGCGCAACCCUUGACCUUAGUUGCCAGCAUUCAGUUGGGCACUCUAAGGUGACUGCCGGUGACAAACCGGAGGAAGGUGGGGAUGACGUCAAAUCAUCAUGCCCCUUAUGACCUGGGCUACACACGUGCUACAAUGGAUGGUACAAAGGGCUGCGAGACCGCGAGGUUAAGCCAAUCCCAUAAAACCAUUCUCAGUUCGGAUUGCAGGCUGCAACUCGCCUGCAUGAAGCCGGA